AACCCGGAAAUUCUGGAGUGAUGAAGCAGAUGGAUCAACCUCAUGAAGGUUCUAGCAGGAAAAGUUUCAGUUUUAGUUCUUGGGAUAGGAAGUGUGUUGGAACCAGGCGACAAAUUCGCAUCAAUUGGAAAAAUUUGGUUAAAGAUCAUUUUAAAUAAAAUGACUUUAAUCACGACAUAAUUUACAAUAUGUGGAAUUUUAAAUAAAAUUAUUUGUUUUUCGUUGUUUGAUAGAUUUAGGAAACUGAUCAGUCAGUGGGCGGGGCUAAAACUGCGGUGAUUAAAGGCGAUUGGCCAGAAAUUGACAUACUGUAAGUUACCCCAUUCAUUUAAUCCACUUUUAUUUUAUAUCUACAUAAAUUGAAUUUUAUUUCUUAUUUUUAUUUUUUUAACCAGAAGAACCUGCAGAAAUGUCACCAUCGUCAUCUGGUCCUGGACAAGACGGCAGCAGAUCAAGACAUCUUCUACUUUUCCAGUUUUAUUUACAACAGAUCAACAGAACCUGGCCAGAACACACCAUGGAGUGCUGUGAAAAAGCCCAGCUGGUGGGAAACAUCUGGAGAGAGACAUCAAGCUCAAUUUGUGGCAGGCAGAAGAACUGCCACCACCUGCCGCAGGAUGCCAGAAGGUGAUCGCUGCCAAUCAUGAAGCGAGGACAACCAUCUGGAGGUUCCCUCAAACCAAACCAGAACUUCUGACUAACCUGGGUUCCUCCGAGCCGCAGCACCUCCUCCCGGCUGAGCUCCUCUCCUCCUGCAGCCUCCUCUGCCUCG
Molecule: long non-coding RNA, 772 nt
Organism: Girardinichthys multiradiatus
Lineage: Eukaryota; Metazoa; Chordata; Actinopteri; Cyprinodontiformes; Goodeidae
Exons: 3
Source: RefSeq, a predicted model, not a curated record